ACAAUAAAGUAACAAUACAUGUGAGGAACCACUACACAUAAAAAAGGGAGUGCCAAUCAAAAAUAAAAUGAAGGAAAUUAUUAAAUUCAAACAUAAAAAUGUACAACAAGGACAAAUAAAUAGCAUUUUAAAAUGGUUUCAUUGAAGCUUAGUUACAUGUAGGUUUGUGUAUCGAGAACCAGAUCCAUUUCAGAACCGCUUACAAAUUUCCAAGAACAGUUGAUUUGAUGAGACGUGUGCAUUUCAGUUCCACUAGAAGACGCGAAAGAUAACUCAAUUCGACACUCGCAUGCUGUUUUCUGUGCUGCAGACACAUUUAAAGGGCGUGCACCCACCUCUCAUACACCAGUGCUGAUUUAAGUUCUUUUGUGGCUUCUUGCACUUAAACGGACAAAUACACUGUUAGACAUUUCUGUAAUUUCUACAGUUAUUUACCAUAUAUCACCCAGUAUUAUACUGCUAAUUCUCUUUACAGUAAAUAACUGUGAUUCCCUUUGCAUUAUGGGAAUUUUCUGUGACGUCAAGCACCACAUACAGUGAUUUACUGUAUUUUUAAAAUUUGCAGUAUACUACUGUAUUUGCUGUAACGGAUCCUCUGGCUCCAUUCCAUCGUGUUUUUUAUUUUCCUAUUUUUGUACAUUUGGUUUGACAUGUUUCGCCUCACACCGCGUGUCUACAACGCUAACAGCCCGCGGCUGUCUAUAUUGGACACACUGAAGCUACCGGACCUUUACAAAAUGCAAACCUUGUGUCAGAAAUAGCGCGAGCGCUUGGACUCGGAGUACUGUACAUAUAACGGGGCAUCAUACUGUCUCUGUCUGGGAUUUGUCGUGUCAAGCCGGAGCAUUCAGUGCAAACAGUGAAUGUAUUGGGUUCUGACUUUUGUUGGAUCGCGUCGUUCGCGUCCGAGGUAGAGACGGAACCAGCGCGGCAGCGCCACAGUCUGCGGCCGGUGUACCGAUGCACCCCAUGAAGACUUCUCCCCGAGAGAGAGAGACCAGCAAGCAAGGUAAAAAAAAUCUUUACCACGGUAAACUGCGUUAACGUUUCAUUUGACAAAAGAUUUUGUUAGAUUAUGGAAUUUAAUAUUUACUGCAAUUUAUGUAUGCGUGUUUUAAAGGUCUCAACUGCACCAAAGCGCCGGUGACUUCUAGCAAGAUUUUUGAGGUAAGUUUAGCUGUAACGUUACUUGAAAUCAUAUUGUUACUUAAAUGUCCUAACAAAAGCAAUGUUUUCUGCCUAUGUUAUUGUAAUACUGGUUUAAAAGCGCGCCACAGCGAAAUUUUGCGGGCCACAAAGUUCAUUGUCAUUGUCAGUAGUAUAGCUGAAGCACAGUUAAUGCAGUCACUAGCAUUGUUGAAUUAGCAAUGUGUGAAGCAAGCAGUGGAUCCACUGGUGCAGACUAGCUAGCAUUAUAAAUUUGCUAACUUUUGAUCAAAUUAGUGACUUUGCAUCAUGUCUAACAUUUUAUUUAUUACAUAGCAAAUGAUGCAAUCAGAAGAUGGACCAUUUUCUAUGUUAUGUCUCACCAGAUUACAUUUAUCCAGGCCGAAGACUCUACCAUUGCAGUCCCGACUGACCAGGAAGGUCCUAAUAUCAGCGCACAGCUUCCCCUUCACUGCAGACAAGCUGAAAUUGGCCAAAUGUCGAUUGCAGUCUCUCUCUCUAUGGAUCUCAGCAUUUUUGGACAGAAUUUAGGAUAUGUAAGUAUUAAAAUUUAAUCUGGCAUAAUUUAAUUUACAGUUCAGCUGAAAUUUUUGAAUAUGCUAU
Megalobrama amblycephala (Wuchang bream) is the source of this 1770-nucleotide long non-coding RNA. RefSeq lists it as uncharacterized. Lineage: Eukaryota; Metazoa; Chordata; Actinopteri; Cypriniformes; Xenocyprididae. The record is from RefSeq and is a predicted model, not a curated record. The transcript has 3 exons.